CUUGAGAUGAUACUUCUAAUUAAUGAAAAUCGUAAUCACGGCUGUAUAAUGGGACCAUGGUUAUUUGUUACCUGUAAGCAGUAUGCUUCUACUGUCUUCUCCAUGUUGCAUUUUUUGGUUGUGUUGCCCUAUGGACUUAUUUUAUUGCAGGCUAAUUAUGCUGGCAAGUGGUUUGCGUAACAUAAGUCACAAAACUACAAAGAUCACAACAUUCGGGUUGCUUUGUUAUUCACCCGGGUCUUACUCUGAGUUGAGGUAUAAUCUAUUUAUACUCUGCUUGUAUUUAUAUACCUGCAAAGAAACGAGAAAGCUUGUGGCUGAAUAUGAGUUUUGCUAGGGCUUGUUUGAUAGAAUUUAUUUGGGAAUAAUGAGUUAUUGAAUAGUAUUUUUGGAGAAUGUGUGAUUAAAAAGUAAAGAAAUUUUAUUGGUUUAUGUGUAGAAUAUUUUAUUGUGUGAAUGUGUAGUGGAGAAUGAUCGUGUAGCAAAUAAUUUAAAUUUUUAAAGGAUGACAAACAGAGCCCCCCAUAUGUUAUUUCCUACAGUCAGCCUCUUGCAAACUGUGUUAUCACAACAGCAUUUUAGUUGAGUGCAUUAACUAUUGGUCUGUUUUAGUUUUCCUUAUUCUACAUUCUUAUUCAAUUUCUUGAUAUUUGUACAAUUGCAUUCUUCAGGAAGCUGGAUACGAUCUCAAUAACAUUGAUCUGGACGGUCAGCAUAAAGAGAAUAUUCACAUUUUGUCAAUAAAUUUGGUGGGAUAUUGUUGAAUUUGGGACAACUAAACACUAAGGUUAAAAAAAAUUUUCUCCUCAGCUACUGUGUUGAAAAGCAUAGCAUCUUUUGAUGGUCAUUUUGAAUCAUCAGACGGCUAAUCUAGAAUUGCAUUUUUUGACAAAGCUCUCCCGCGUACAUUUUCGUCUUCAGCUAGUCAUUUUCACUUGUCCUUUCAACAGUAACCUACCAACCGUAAAGGUAAAAAAUCUACCUACCAAAGUAUUCUUUGAUAUUGGGUUGACAAUAACCUCUCACAAAUUUGUUCGUCUCCAAUCAAAAACACUUUUUAUAAUAAGA
RNAcentral lists this long non-coding RNA (1068 nucleotides) under Olea europaea subsp. europaea. The record is from RNAcentral. Lineage: Eukaryota; Viridiplantae; Streptophyta; Magnoliopsida; Lamiales; Oleaceae.